Molecule: ribosomal RNA, 501 nt
Filed under: uncultured bacterium
Lineage: Bacteria
Description: partial 16S ribosomal RNA
Rfam family: Bacterial small subunit ribosomal RNA
Source: RNAcentral
ACUCAAAUGAAUUGACGGGGGCCCGCACAAGCGGUGGAGCAUGUGGUUCAAUUCGACGCAACGCGAAGAACCUUACCAGCCCUUGACAUGGGGAGUGUGGGUCGCAGAGACGCGAUCCUUCAGUUCGGCUGGCUCCCACACAGGUGCUGCAUGGCUGUCGUCAGCUCGUGUCGUGAGAUGUUGGGUUAAGUCCCGCAACGAGCGCAACCCUCAUCUUCAGUUGCCAUCGGUCUGGCCGGGCACUCUGAAGAAACCGCCGGUGACAAGCCGGAGGAAGGCGGGGAUGACGUCAAGUCCUCAUGGCCCUUACGGGCUGGGCUACACACGUGCUACAAUGGCGGUGACAAUGGGACGCAAAGGGGCAACCCCGUGCCAAUCCCAAAAAGCCGUCUCAGUUCGGAUUGCACUCUGCAACUCGAGUGCAUGAAGUCGGAAUCGCUAGUAAUCGCGGAUCAGCACGCCGCGGUGAAUACGUUCCCGGGCCUUGCACACACCGCCCGU